GCAGAUUCUUUGGGUUAAUAUUUACCAAGUCGUGUAAUCUUGUUCUUUGGAGUUCAUGCAAAAAAUAAGAAAGAAAUUUCAGUUAGAAUGGUUUCCAAAAAAAUUGCGCUUACGAUCAUCUUCAGCGUGGUCGCUUUGGUCGCGUUGUUCGAUGCAACUACUGCCGCACGUGAAUGCAACAAUGGGGCGUCAAACUGUUUGGCAUGCGUUUGUAACGUGUGGGAUGACACUGCGACCUGCUGCAGGGCCGAGUUUAACCAAAACAAUGGAAAUUGUGAGGGAAUUAAGAAAGGGAAAAACGGUAGCUUCAAAAAAUGUUGUGACAGUAAACGAGGAUUUGGAAGGUGUUGGUAAUACAUAUGCAACUCAUGAUUAAUACUAUUAUUUAGUUUCACAUAUGCAAUUCGAAUCAGAAUAAAUCAAAUAAAAUGUAUAUUCAUUGGAAAACAA
This is a long non-coding RNA of Folsomia candida, 450 nucleotides long. RefSeq lists it as uncharacterized. The record is from RefSeq and is a predicted model, not a curated record. The transcript has 2 exons. Lineage: Eukaryota; Metazoa; Arthropoda; Collembola; Entomobryomorpha; Isotomidae.